Molecule: ribosomal RNA, 460 nt
Filed under: uncultured bacterium
Lineage: Bacteria
Description: bacterial SSU rRNA
Rfam family: Bacterial small subunit ribosomal RNA
Source: RNAcentral
GAUGAACGUUGGCGGCGUGCCUAAUACAUGCAAGUCGAACGAAGACUGUAGUAAUACUGUCUUAGUGGCGAACGGGUGAGUAACGCGUGGGUGACCUGCCCCGAAGUGUGGGAUAACAGUCCGAAAGGAUUGCUAAUACUGCAUAAUAUCCAAGAGAUUAGACGCUUUCGGAUUAAAGGAGUAAUUCGCUUCGGGAGGGGCCCGCGUCCCAUCAGCUAGUUGGUAAGGUAAUGGCUUACCAAGGCGAUGACGGGUAGGGGACCUGAGAGGGUGGCCCCCCACAAUGGAACUGAAACACGGUCCAUACACCUACGGGUGGCAGCAGUAGGGAAUAUUAGUAAUGGGCGAAAGCCUGAACUAGCAACGCCGCGUGUGCGAAGAAGGCCUUCGGGUCGUAAAGCACUUUUUGAGAGGAUGAGGAAGGACGGUACUCUCAGAAUAAGUCUCGGCUAACUACGUG